Molecule: ribosomal RNA, 253 nt
Filed under: uncultured bacterium
Lineage: Bacteria
Description: partial 16S ribosomal RNA
Rfam family: Bacterial small subunit ribosomal RNA
Source: RNAcentral
UACGUAGGGUGCGAGCGUUGUCCGGAAUUACUGGGCGUAAAGAGCUCGUAGGUGGUUUGUCGCGUUGUCCGUGAAAACUCACAACUCAAUUGUGGGCGUGCGGGCGAUACGGGCAGACUGGAGUACUGCAGGGGAGACUGGAAUUCCUGGUGUAGCAGUGAAAUGCGUAGAUAUCAGGAGGAACACCGAUGGCGAAGGCAGGUCUCUGGGCUGACACUGACGCUCAUGCACGAAAGCGUGGGGAGCAAACAGG